Pipistrellus kuhlii (Kuhl's pipistrelle) is the source of this 1277-nucleotide long non-coding RNA. RefSeq lists it as uncharacterized. The transcript is spliced from 2 exons. The record is from RefSeq and is a predicted model, not a curated record. NCBI's taxonomy places the organism in Eukaryota, Metazoa, Chordata, Mammalia, Chiroptera, Vespertilionidae.
UCUGCACCGACCUUCCCCUGUCUGUCUCCCAUCGCCAGGCGGCAGGGAGGGCGCUGCCCGGACGCUUUGGAAUUCCUUCGGGGAUGGAAGGCUGCAUACAGUCAGGCCUGGGCUGUUUAAGGACGGAGUCCGGUACCCAGAGAGCAGGACGAGCACUGCGGCCUGAGUGACAGGCAUCUGAUUCUCAUUAGCCGGAGCCUCCAUGGGCCGGGCUCCUGGGCCCUCUCUGAAUCUAUGCACAGAGCUGGCCCUCGCAGGGUGCAGCCGGUCAGCUGCCUGCCCCCCUACCACUCCCUCCCAACCCACACUGCAGAUGGAGCAGACCCAUAUCAAGAUUGUUUUGGACAUUUAAAUCCUGUUUAAUGAUUAAAGAAACUCCCUGAGCUAAAUGCUGCUGACGUUACAGAGUUUAUUACCCAGCGCUGCGGAGGAGAAGGGGGAGAUCUGAAUUCUCAGGCCGGGAGAAGGAGGGCUGGACAAUAAAUGUUUAUUACCAUCACUUGGACAGCAAGCAAGGCCUGUCUUGAUCCCUUUUUUUGGUACCAAGGGUGUUGCUGACUUUUUCUUACAUACCCUCAAAACAGCCUCAUGGACUAUGCUAACACUGUUGGUGGAGGUACAGCUUGGUAAAUCCACUUUGGAAAACUGUUUGGCAGUUUCCAAGCUGCACAUGUGCAUGGCUUAUAACCCAGCAAUUCCACACCUUUAUGUGUACCCAGCAGAGAUGUGUGCAUGUGUUUGCCAAAACAUUAGCAGCGUGGCAGUGAUAGGAACUACCACCUUUUAUGUGAGUAAGUAAAUUGUGUCAUGUUUACAAGUGCAGUGUCUGCAGUACGGAAGAAUGAGUGCAUUUCAUAAACAUGUGUAUUGCUGAACCAGAUGCAAGAGGCAAACUGCGUGAUUCCUGUUCGGACUCUAGGCCCUGGAGGCUAGGGCCAUGCAAUCCCUAACGGCCAUCUGCAAGCUUCCCACCAUAGGAGAACAGAGGCCAGGACAAGCUCUCUGGCCACCAGGCUCAGGCCGUACGAGGAAUGGGAACUGUCCUGAAGACCCCCGAUCGCACACCUGCAUUCCCCCCGGUUCCAAACCCAGCUCAGACCCAACCCACUGAGGACAAGAGCUUCCUGCCAGUGACUGCACAUGAGGAUGAAACCCCAGCUCCUGGGGCUGCCAGCAUCGCCCAGUGUCCCCUUGGCUCGGGGCUGGGCAGCCCUUCCCUUUGGAUAUCCCACUCCCCAUCUCCUUCCCUUAAAUAAAUUCAAUUUUUCUUUAUCCUC